GGCCAUAUGGAUUUUCUCUCUCUACUCUAAACGAUUUUGGGUCUCAGAUGUUUGUACAAGCUAUCAAAAUAGGCAUACUUAGUCAACUGCACCAUCAAGGCCCUUUGGAUUAUUGGAUAGGUAAUAUAUAACUUGCAAUGCAAUAAACUUUCUGAGAAAGUACAAUAACAGAAACCUCCAGAUGCAUCAAUAAAAAGCACGAC
RNAcentral lists this unclassified non-coding RNA (203 nucleotides) under Hevea brasiliensis (rubber tree). The record is from RNAcentral. Lineage: Eukaryota; Viridiplantae; Streptophyta; Magnoliopsida; Malpighiales; Euphorbiaceae.